This 22496-nucleotide long non-coding RNA is filed under the name Coffea arabica (coffee). RNAcentral's name for it is "long non-coding RNA (CARA_LNC000691)". Lineage: Eukaryota; Viridiplantae; Streptophyta; Magnoliopsida; Gentianales; Rubiaceae. The record is from RNAcentral.
CUUUUUUUUUUUUUUUUUGUACACAGGUGCAACUGUAGAGCGACUCUAUGGCCGCAGGGGAAAGGUCGUUUAUACGCUCAACAACACACGGUGGUGUUUGGAAUUGUACCCAAAAAAUUUUACAUUUUUUUUAAAUUUUUUACAUGUAUUAAAUUGUUAUAGUAUAUUUUUUUCAUACAAAUUUCAAAAAAUUACAAUUCAAAUGGAAUGGAACCCUCCUCUUUUGGUAAAAAGAAAAAAGGAGCAUUUGCACAAGGGAAAAAUCAUUUAAAAUUUAGUCUCAAUCUAAAUUUUUUAUCAUUUUUUACUCUAAAUGAUCAAUUUUUUUUAAGAGCAAAAGGAUUAAAUCUCAUUUAUAACCAAACAAACAACUGGAUCCAUUAUUCAAUUUUGCUCUCUAAAGAAGUAGAAUUUGACUCUUACCAUAUUCAUUUUUAACCCAAAAAAAAAAAAAAGAAAUCGGAUCAAAAUUAUAUUAAUCUUUGUCACUACAAAAGCAAGAUCUGACAUUUAUAUACAUAAAAAAUGAUAACAUGUGAAUCAUUUUGUGAUUUCAACUAAAAAGAAAUUAAAAAUUUAGGUUAGAACCAAAUUUUACUUAUUUAAAUUUAUAAGAAAUAUAAAAUUAAUAUUUUAAAAAUAAAAAACAAAAAAAUUUAUUUAACAAAAUGUCAUGAUGGUUGUUUUGAAUGGUUUCCUUUUCCAAAAUGUGCCCGCAAACAUAUAUUAUAAUCGCUAUUACUUUCUACUACCAAAUGACUCUCUUAACAUUUCGAAGUUUCCAAAUAACCCCACAUAAUUUUAUAUAAAGGGAAAACUUGACUAAAAGCAGCUUCCUAUUAGUUGAAAUGCUAGUGUUAACCAAAUGAGAACUAAAUAGAUAUGUAUGUUAAACUAUAUGGAAUUAAGUGGAUAUUAUAGACCACUUGGCUUCUUAUCUUUCUGAGCAAAGAAAAGUAGAGAGCUCACAUUGGUACAACAUAGCCUUGAGUUUGCAAAAACAUCUUGCUCCGAGAAAAGGCAUGGCCUCUGUAGAUUUCAUGGCUCAUCAAAGGUGAAAAGCUCAUCAUGCCCAUGCAGAGAAACUGCAGAAAAUUUUCUUUUCUGGCUUUUACCACACAGAACUCAUGCAACAAAUCAUGUAUGUGGCAAAUUCUUACACCUCCUAGGGAUCUUUCUUUCCAGACCAUAACCAAGCUUCUCCUUAUCAGUUCACACACAUAAUCCUGAGCCACAUCUUCUAAGCUCUUUACAUCACUUUUUUCCACAAGCCCUUCAGCGAUCCAUAAACUCAUCAACCUCCGAAAAGGAAUCUCUUGGUCUUCAAGAAAUGUCCCAAAAUAAAGAAAGCACGGCUUUAGAUAAUCAGGUAAAUGCCCAUAACCAGCUCUAAAACAUCCAUACACUGAUCGGUGGCACAAACAGCAGCGCUUAAACUCAGUCUUUCUGCAAUCUCUUUCCAACCAUCUUGCUUCAGAUUUGCAAGAAUUCCAGCUACUGUUAACAACUUUGAGUGGUAGCCCCUGACAAUGUUUUGCCAUUUGCAUCCCCAGAUCACUCUGUGCUAAAGGAUAGCCUUCUUCUUCACAAGCUAUCUGUUUCUGCAGUAAUUCCCAGCUCUCCUUAUCAGUAACUCCUCGAAGAUGGUGAAUUUUACCAUUCUGGUUAAUCUCAAAAGCCACCUUAGGAAGUCGACUUGUUAAAAGGAUUCUACUGCCAUUGGCAUUAUCAGGGGAAGAUCAUUGCAAGCCACUCCAGGCCUCGCUAUUCCACACAUCAUCCAAAACAAUGAGAUAUGUAAUUCUCAUCAAACUUUGUCUUAGCUUUUUCUUCCAACUCAUCUUGAGUCAUCUUACUAUAGUCACCAUCAGAAGGGUCAGAAUUCAUACAACCCAAAAUCUGAAGCAGUAAAUUUUUCUGUUGAUGAAUUUUAGAAACAUUACACCAUGCACGUGCAUGAAAAAAGCGUCUGACUGAAUGAUCAUUGUAAACAUUUCUUGCCAAAGUUGUCUUACCUAGUCCCGCCAUACCCACAAUAGAAACAACGUCUAACUGCUUUGGUCCUCUGGUAAGUUUCUGAGUUACUGUGGUUACCUCAGCGUCCAAUUUCACCACAAUUUUGUUGGUUGUCCUGCUUGCACUAUGGGUUUCCAAUCUUAACUUACUAUGACUAAUCUUCAAAGCUUCCAUCUUAAGAAGAUUAACCUCAUUAACUUCUUCUCUGAUGGAAUCAAACAGGAUUGGAGAAUAACCAGGAAUAUCUCCAACAAACAAGGAUUUUACCAAAAAUGUGUCUUCCGUGCCACCUCCAUGACACAGCUCCAAAGAGCUUGGUUGCACUGGUCCGUACUAUUCUCAUAGAAAGAUCCUAAUAAUGCAAGAUCUUCUUGGAUGUCUUGAAUUUGAUCCUCUGCACAAGCAAUUGAAUCAACCUCACAACUUGGCAGAUCCUUCAGAUUUUCUGAGAGAAAGUCCAUAAAACCAAGUUCGUUGGUGCUGGGAAAGAUGAAUGUUGACGUUGAAACUUUAACAAGCUGAAUCUUUCCUCAAAAUUGAAAAGCGCAGAAUCAAAUUCCUUCGCCAAGCCUUCUUUCAAUUCGUGCACAAAAAGCAGCCAAAUUAUGAUCCCUGCCUUGUUGACUGCAGCUCCAAUAAGAUCCUUUUCUUUUUCAUGUAGCUUAUCAAACUUCUCCUGGUGCUUCUUAAGAAUGGUUCUCAAGAAUCCUAGUCCCUUAUACAGGGGUGGUAUUUGAUCCUUCAAAUAGAACAUCAGAUCGUUACCACGAUUUACUAGGUCGCUAAGAUUGUCAAGAAGAAAACAUACAUAGUCCUCCAAUACAUCCUUACCCAUCUCCAGAGUGUCUGAUAAUCUUGGCACGUGUGAAGCCAUCAAGACUUGGACGUAACCCUCAUGGAGUUGGCAGUCAACAGACACGAUCAUUUGCAGCAGUUCAGAAGUCUUAUUCUGCAUUUCAUCGCACACUGUCUCAUCCUCUGUGCUAGCUUGAUACAUGCAAAAUACUCCUGCUGCUGCAUUGACAGAGGCAGCUUCCAAAUGAGUCAAGAGAAUUUCCAACUGCUUCUUCUCAAAUCCUCGCAAUUCUGCGAACUGAGUAAAUCAUUUGAAGAAUGUCAACUUCUCUUCUAGACCUCUAAUCAGAUUUCUCAAACUCUGAUCAUAAACAUCUCCCCAGUAGAUUAGAUCCACCACAUUUACUAUAGGGUGUAGAUGAAUCCCAUAAGCCUGUCCCAGGAUUGCACCGAGCAGUCCAACACAGUGAUGUAGGAAUCAGAUUCAUUGAUCUUUUGGUUAACAGACCCCAUGCUUCCCUUAAAAUCAUAGAUUAUGUCCUGUAAAUCCCAUUUCAAUUCAGUGAGAGAAGAGAAUCCUUAGUCUACUCUAAGACGAAAGGAGUAAAAGACUUCUCCAUUUUUGUGGACUGCUUAUGCAAUACUGUGCAACAAAGAUCCCAGACUUGCAUUUUCAUCAGAGUUGCAACUGUGGUCGUUGCUGCUCCAGUACGUCCUAGCACACGAGACGAAUGUUCGCUGAAUUCUUAGCUACAUCUUCAGGCUCGUCAACCGACAAUCAUCUACAUACAGAUCUUUCGCCAGCAUCUCUAGAGCAUUCAAGACUUCAUCAAUGGAAUCAAAAUCCAUCUUUCUGAGGUUCCACUGCAGCAAUGGAAGAUUUUUUAUUUUUUUUUUUUUGGUUGCUUUUACGGAUAAACUUUCGAACUUCAGUUGAACAAGAACUGUUCUAAGUAUUCUAUGCUGCUGAAAAUCAAUUGUUUUUCUUUUUUUUUUUUUUUUUGGUUUUGCAGAAAAACUUUGAACUCCAUUUGAACAAGAACUAUAGAAUGUAUCCUAUGCUGCUGUUUUUGGGUGCUUUUACUUUAAAAUUGAACUGCAAUUGAGCAAGAACUGCAGGAAGCCUGCCAUGCUGCAGGAAAUGAGGUGAUUCUUACUUCUCUUACUUCUAUGAAUAUUUUGGUCAACCCUCUCUUUUUCUUAGUGAAAUUAUGAGUAGAAUGAAACAAGAUCCGCCAAUUCAGGCAGCCAUGUUAAACAACCAGGGAAAUCAUUAAUGGACCAAAAAAAAAUUUGUUCUCAAGUCUCAUUUCCAUCUUUCCACCGAUAACACUAUUUGACCAGAGCAUUAAUUUCUCAAGUUUUUUUUAUUAAGUAGUCCUCAACUUGACUCAAUGAUGCAGCAUUUUUCAUUAAACUAAUGAAUGAAGCAAUCUCUAAGCUUUAAUAAAGAAAGGAAAACAACUUCGUUAUCUCUUGUAUCAAUUCUAUCCUACGUACCGUCAUCUCUUGUAUCAACCUGUAUUCCACCCUUUUAUUUUCUUGCAGGUAUUCACGGUAUAUCAAAAUAUAUGGAAAGUGAAAAUACAGGUACUAAACAAAAUGUUGAAUAGAAUUGGGAUUUGACACAUGAAGAUAAGGAUGCAAAGCCAAAGAGAACUGACUCAUGGGAGGCCAAUUUGAGGUGCUAGAAAGAGCAAUAAAGCUCAAACCAUGAAUGAGAAGGGGGAAGAUAACUGUAAGAAGUAGAAAUGCAAGAAUCAUGGGGAGAAAGGUGGGGAGGGCAAUACCGUUAAUCACUACCAUGGUCGUCUAUUCGCCCUUAAUCUUGUACAUUUGUCUCAAAUGUAUCUCAAGAAUAUAUGUAUUAACCAACCAAUAUCAUCACAUGAUAUUGAUGUACUUAACUAACCUUUAUUUCCCAGGUAAUCUUACGAAUUUUAGAGCACAAACAUGUACCAAAAGAGAAAUUUGUUGAGGAAAAUAACUAAAUCACAGCGAGCUAAACGUUCAAGAGAAAAUGCGCCUAAUAAUCUCUCCUUUGGUUUUUUGGUUUAUCUUUUAGACACUCUUUCUUCUGAUGUAGAUGGGAUGUGAAGGACCAAUUUAUUGGUGGUAUUGAUAGGGUGUUAAUUGUUAGUAAUUUUAUUAUUAAUUUUUCUUUUUACCGUUGCCAAAUAUUGCUUUAAUUUGCUUUAAUUGUCAAUAUAUAUUUAUAUUUAGUAUUUAAAUAUAAUUUCAGAAAUUGGAGCAGAAACCUCUUGAGAAGAUUAUUGUAAAGCUUUACACAAUUCCGGUGCAAACCAACGAAGAAGAAUGGAAUUGCAUUUGGGAAUUCAAUUUGGCUAGACAACAUAUCAAAGUUGGUGGGGACCGCAAAUAAGUUGUAUUGUCUAAAGUUUGCUUUCUUUGCACAUUUGUGGUUUUGCUUUCUUGUUGGUGAACGUGUGCACUUGGUCAAAAAGAAAACCGACACUUGCUUUUGUUUUGAGUGGAGUUGAAUUGAUUGCGUAGAGAAAUGAUGACCUCUUUGGUGGACGUGGGGUCAUGUCUCCAUUUGGCUGGUUUUUUUAUGUAUGAAGACAUUAGACGUGAAAGGGAGCUAUUAGACUAGUUUUGAGUUUUCUCUCCAAAUAAGCUCCAUUGGAGGAUAGAGGUAGUUUUUGGUUUUCAGAGGAGGAGUUCUUCCUUCUCUUGUUGCGUGGUGUGCAACUUUUUUUCAAAGAGUCUACGGAGACUCAAGUUGCUUUCUAAAUUCUUAGUCAGUUAUUUAUGUAUUUGAUUCCAAUUAAAUUGCGUGGGAAUUUUAUCAUGAGACUUAACUAAUCUUCUCAUCUAGUCAAGGAUCAACGCGAAGACGCAGUCCCAAAUAUCUGUGAGAUCUAAUUAAUUUUACGUGUUUCUUAAUUUGUUAAUAUUUGCAUGUUUUCUAUUUUAAUUUUCAUGGGAUUAUUUUGUUAAUUGGAUAUCAAGGGCCCGAUGUGCAAUUUGACUUUUUAAUCUUCUGUCAAAUUAAUCAAUUAAAUCCGUAAUUGUUUAAUUGGUUAAUAUUAGUAGCAACUAGUAUUUUCACAUACUAGGGGAACAUGCAAUCUGAUUUAAAUAACCCUCGUAACGUGUUAUUAAUUUGGGUUAGGCUUUUCUAGUUUUUAAUGCAAUUAGGAAAUUAAUUCCUACGUUCGUACCUAGGAGUAUUUCCUGGUUAGGGGUAAUCAACGGUCGUACCUUGGUUAUCAAUAAAUUAAGGAAAAGCUGGUCGUUAGAGCUUAUCGGCGACUAUAACUAACCUGUUAAUAAAAUUAAGUGAACCUUCUUUGCAUCAAUGAUCGGAUGAAUGGACUGUGUCUGCGUAGUUGUAUCCUUGGUUAGAAUUUAUUUAUUAUUUAUUUAAUUGCUAUUUACAUUCCUAUUAAUUAAUUAUUUAUUUUUGGUUAAAUUGUUUAAUUAUUUUUAGUUUAUUUCUGAUAAAAAUCCCCCGUGAAAAGAAUCGAAUUUUUCCCAGUCUCUGUGGAUUCGACCCUAUUCACUACUAUACACAGAAAAUUUAUUUUUCUCGAAUAGAUAUUUAUUAUUGCACAGGCUCGACACCUGUCAGGUAUUGUGGACUUCUUCACCCUGGUGAAGCACUCUUGACUUCAGGUAUAAUAAGAACCAGUAAAUCACUAACCAUAGGCCUGGCAGCCAGCCGUUGUUUAAUGAGGUAAGAUGUUUUACUCUCUCGUGCUUUUAGGCUUUAAUUCCGGAAAUAUAUAUUCUUGGAUACAGAUUAUGCAAGUUAUGUGCACUUGUGCUUAACCUAGGUUACAAGAAGAGAGAUAUUAUCAGAACCAGGUUGAUGAAUUUAUCAGAACCAUACAACUGUGUUCUACUUAUCGAACAGACUACAAGAGCAAGUUCAAAAUAUCUGUUCUUACAACUUGGAUGCAACAUAGGAUGUCAUCAAUACUCAUUAAACUGUAAAGAAAAAGAACAAGUUGAUGCACUUGUUAGUCAGUCACUGACAAAAUGAGGAAAAACCAAUGAAAAUAUUGACACUGAUAAUUUCCUUUAGAGAUCAUUUCCUUCUCUUAGAUAAUUUUUUCCCGUGGAAAGGAAGAAAAUAGGAAUCAUGAUAAAAUUUCAUUGAAAAGUACAAUUAAUAGCUGUUACUGUGUCAUACCUACAAAAGUCUAUAGCAAAAAGUUUCAAAUUGUCAAAAGUAAUAAAUAAGUUGUAAAAUACAUUAAAUACAUGUAUGAAUAUGAUUUAAACCAUAUUAAAUAAUCUAGACGACAAUGUUAGAGCUCUAUAUAGAAGAAGAAAAAGAACCAUAUUCAUUUGUGUAUUAACGCAAACAAGUUUGCAAGAUUUAAAACUGAUAAAACAAACCCUACAGUGUCUCAGUAUUUGAGUGUUAAGACCUACCCUUCAGUAUUUUUACCUUGGCAAACAGUCUUGGAGAUUUAUAUAGGACUAACAUUUAGAGUUUUUGUUAGUCUUAUUAAAUUUUAAUUAUAAUAGUUCAUGCAAAUUAUAAAAUAUGAAAAUCAGUGGCACAAAAAAUCAUUUUCAUUUUAGUCAAAGUGAGUAAAAUUUUACUUUUUGAAGGCUGGAAAUGACAUUCUUGAUUGAAAUGGUGAAAGAAUGAACUUAACUUGCAAUUUGGCAUUUCUCUCUCUUCUUUACUAGCACUUAAAUAGAAAGGUCUUCUUGAAUUUUGUUCAUCAAUCUCUUGGGUUAUUAAGGAUUACAAUCUACCAUUUUUUAAUUUAGUUAGUUAAGGCUUUGAUUGAUGCACUAUGUUCUUAAUCACUGAUCAUAUUUUUUCCUUUGAAGAAAAAGAAAAAUACUAAAACUAUAUUUAAAAAUAGAAAGCACAAACUUUUAUUGUUAGGAAAAGUGAAGUAAGAAAAAAUAAGGAAAAAAAACUGAUAGCCUGGUAGGAGCUACAAAGAUAAUGCUUCAUUUCUUCAAAUUAAGUCACAUGAUGUUUUAGUUUCAAGAUUGAGACAAUAGAUGAUUAGUUGCAAUAGUGAAUAACUAAUUAGUCUCAAAGAGUUUUCAAAAAGUAUACAUUGAUCAAAUGGUUGAGGAAAAUCUAGAAACUAGAUGACCACAAAUAUUGAUGAGAAACUAUUCACAACAAAGAAUAAAUUUACAUGUACAAGUAACAUAACUUUGUCAAGGUAAUUAAACAUCUAGUAGAAAGAAACAAAAUAAGUUUUCAUCAGACGUUCUUCGUACUGCGUAUUACAUGAGAUAAAAUAAAAAAGAAUUUGAGCUUUGUGGUUAAUAUGAACUAAGACUUGAAACAAAUGUCAAAAUGUGUAUAUUCCAAAAUUAGAGGGAAAUGCAUUUCUAAAAGUCAAAAUAAAAUAUUUAUGAAUGCAAAUAACAUUUAUUAAUAUGGCGUUGUCACAUACAUUUAUUAUUGUAGUACUUUUUUGACGUAAUAUAUAUAGGAAAAAGGUAGUUAAAAAAGAUAAAAAUAUGAUUUGAGAACGUUUUUAUGAUGUAAUUAAAAUUUUAUUUUCAAAUAAUUACAUAUCCAAACAAUCCCAUAAUGUGCAUGCUUGCUUCAUCUUUAUAAAUUUUAUUAUGAAGGAAAUGUAUGAAAUUGAAACAAAUUAGAUAAAAAGAAGUUUACGCUUCCCGCGCAAUAUUUGGAACCAUAUUAUACUAAAAAAUGUGCGGAUUGAUUCUCUCUCAUAUGGAUAGUGAAUCAUUUAUUAGGUUACUAAUGUAUUAUAUUCUCAUUAAAAGCAAUAUAUUUCUAUAAUUCAUGUUAUCCACGACUAAACUAUACUAUAACCAAAAGAUAAACAUUUCAAAAGAAUAUGAACAAAUCCAAAAAAAACUAGGAUAGGAAAUAAUGAAAGAAAAAAAAUUUUAAUCAACCAUUAAAUAGUUUGCCUAAUUGAGGAUGCAAUUUAAGAAGUUUAUGAGUUUUAAAUUUUUUUAGCUUCCAAUCGUAUUACAUAAAUUUAAAAGUUAAACGAGUUUUGCGCAACAAUAUACACGUGCAAUGCACCUGCUCUUUCCUAGUGUGUGUAUGUGACUAUAUAGUGACUAUAUAUAUAUAUAAAUGUAUAUAUGUAUGUAUAGAUAAUCGUGUCAACUCACGAACUAAUAAGUUAAAUAUCUUUGAAUUCAAAUUCGAACUCGAGCUUGAACUCGAGCUACUACUUGCUCGACUCGUAUGCAGCCCUACCGUGCAACGGAUAGUUUGAGAUCAAGUAAACUAGACACCAACUCAUCUCCACUUCAUUUCAAAAUCUGUUGAUUUUAAAAUAAUGGAUUCUUUGUGCUUCAAAAAACAGAGGGUUAUCUAAAUGAAAAGAAUAACGGAAGAAGAAGACUGCAAAUAAGUACUAGAACUCACAAAAAUUUUUCACAAUGAUACAAAAGUUGAGGAAGGUUAACGUUCAUUAUCCUUUUAAUAGUAAAAUGGCAAUUUUACAUCAAGUAUGGUAUCUUGUAUUGCAAUGAUAUUCCAUAUCCGGAUAAAUAAACCGUGCCAUGUCAAAUAUACCUCAAGCGAUAUUAUUACUAUUAAGGGAUUUUGAACACAUCAUUGUGGAGAAAAAAAUGUACAAGUCAUCACUAUCAAAUAUAAGAGCAAAAUACAUGGUAAUCAUGUUGGUUACCUCUACCUAAAUCUGGGCCAACCUAUGAAACUGUCCGUGGUGAUCAAAGCACACAAGUAGAUUACGUAUUGGUUCUUCCUCAAACAAAAAUCUGGAAAUCCUCAUUUCCAGAGUCUUUUUGCUCUUCCUCAAUCUCCCAAAGUGAACUUACAACCGAAUCUGAACAGCCGUGCACCUCAAUCAUUUCAAGAGUUGAAACUUCCCCAAAACAAGAAGGGACUUCUUUCAGUCUCCAGCAUUGAACCAAGACUAAUUUCCGCAGACGCGGGAACUGAUCAGAUGAGCAUUUCCAUCGAGAUAUACGCAACUGUUCCAGUUUCAAGUAUUUGAGCUGAGGAAACUCAAAUCCUUCCAGGUCCCAUGUGCCCUGCGGAGAGACUUCACGAUCUAAUUUGAUCACCUCAAGACUGCACAGUUUCCCAAUCAAUGGAAUUUCACUCCAAUGGAAAUAUGACAGACUCAACUUCUUUAGACUCAUCAACUGAAAACGAAACUCAAGAUGGUACCUUCUCGGGUGAUCCAGCAUGAGCUUGAGCGAUUCCAAUUGGCUCAGAAAGCCCAUUGCCACAAUCUUAUUACAAUCUCCAUUAUAUUCCUCAGAUUUGAAGAGCCUGCAUUUUAGUCUGCGGAUGUUUGGGAAUUUUUCCAAUAUCUUUUCGCUUUGUACUGAACUAAGAACCAGAACAGAAAUGCUGUCUAAAUUAUGUAAACUCCCCAGGUUCUCUUCAGCCCAGUUAAAAGUAAAACCAUUUCUUGCGUCUAGUCGCCUCAAUUUCUUCAAAUUCCAUAUAGUAUCUGGCAGUAGGACAUUUCCGCCUGCUUGGACGAUAAAAGUUUCUAAAUGUGAGAGAUUGCCUACUGAUGAAGGAAUGGAGUUGGCUGAAAGAUGAAUUGCCAAGUACCUCAGCUCAGAAAGCAACUCUAUCUCGCUUGGAAGUUCACCAUGUAGACAAAAUUGUCUCAAGUCCAAUACUCUCAGACGCUUGAAAAAGAGAAAUAGGAAUUUAGGAAAACCACUUCGGAGCAUCUCAUCCUCCUGAGCAUAGAACAUCAGAGAGUUCACACGGGUUGAGCAUAGCCUUGAGUCCGCAAAAAUAUCCUGCCCUGAAAAAAUGCAUAACCUUUGCAGAUUGCGUGGCUCAUCAAAGGUGAAAAGUUUAUCAUCUCCAUGUAAAAACUGCAGAAAAUUUUCUUUCUGGGCUUUUACCAAACAAAACUCGUGCAACAAAUCAUGAAUGCGGCAAGUUCUAACACCACCUAGGGAUCUUUCUUUGGAAACCAUAACCAAGCUUCUGCUUGUCAGUUCAUAUAUGUACUCCUCAGCUACAUCCUCCAAGCUCUUUAUCUCACUUUCCUGGACAAAUCCUUCAGCGAUCCAUAAACUCAUCAACCUCCAAGAGGGAAUCUCUCUGUCUUCGGGAAAUGCUGCGAAGUAGAGAAAGCAUGGCUUUAGAUAUUCAGGUAAAUGCUGGUAACUCAGCUCUAAUACAUCCAUGCACUGAUCUGUAGCACAAACAGCACUUAAGCUUAGUCUUUCCGCGACCUCUAUCCAACCAUCAUCUUUCUCCAAUCUAGCAAGAAUUCCAGCUACCGUAACAAUCGUGAGAGGUAAACCCUGACAAUGUCUGGCUAUCUGCAUCCCUAGAUCACUGUGCGCUAAAGGAAAGCCAUUUUCUUCAGGUAGCUUCUUCUGCAGUAAUUCCCAACUCUCCUUAUCAGUGAGUCGUUGAAGAUGGUGAAUUGUAACAUUCUGGUUGAUUUCCAAAGCCACCAUAGGAAGUCGACUGGUUAAGAGGAUUCUACUUCCAUUGGCAUUAUCUGGGAAAGAUCUUUCCAACGCAUUCCAAGCCUCACUACUCCACACAUCAUCAAGAACAAUGAGAUACCUAAUUUUCAUCAAACGUUGCUUUAGUUUUUCUUCCAACUCAUCUUCAUUCUUCUUUGAAUAUUCAUCACCAGAGUGGUGUUUUUUUCUUUGUAGCUGAUCCUCAAAAAGGUCAGGAUCCAUACAACUCAAAAUCUGAAGCAGCACAUCUUUAUGCUGAUAGAGCUGAGAAACAGCACACCAUGCACGGAUAUGAAAAACGCAUCUAAUUGAAGGAUCAUCAUAAACAUUUUGGGCCAAAGUCGUCUUACCUAUUCCAGGCAUACCAACAAUGGAAACAAACCCCAACUGCUUUUGUCCUCUUGUAAGUUUGUGAAUUAUUGUGGCUUCAUCUUCCAGCCUCACCCGAACUUUGUUGGUUGUCCUGCUCACACUAUGGGCUUCCAAUCUAUACUUAUUGUCACAAAUGUUCAUGGCUUCCAUCUUAGCAAGAUUAAUCUCUUUAAGUUCUUCCCUGAUGGAAUCAAAUAUGAUUGGAGACCUAAAAUCUGGAAUGUCUCCAAUGAACAAGGAUUUAACCGUCAGCUGUGUCUUAUGCGCCGCCACCAUGACACGUCUCCGAAGGGCUUGGUUGCUCUGGUCCACACUGAUCUCCAUCAAAGAUCUUAAUGAUGCAAGAUCUUCUCGGAUAGUUUGAAUUUGAUCCUUUGCAAAAGCAAUUGAACCAACCUCACAACUCGGCAGCUCUUUCAGAUUUUCUAGGAGAAAAUCCAUAAAACCAAGCUCAUUGUUUCUUGGAAAGAUGAAUGUCGAUGUAACUACUUUUACAAGCUUAAUCUUUCCCACGAAGUUGAGAAGUGCCAAAUCAAAUUCCUUGGCCAAGCCUUCUUUCAAGACGUGCAAAAAAAUUAGGCAAAUUAUGAUUCCUGCUUCGUUGACCGCAGCUCGAAUGAGAUCCUUCACCUUUUCAUGAAGCCCAUCAAACUUCUCCGGGUACUUCAUAAGAAUGGUUUUCAAGAAUCUUAGUCCCUUAUAGAGCAGUGGUAUUUGCUCCUCAAAAUUGAUAAUCAACACAGCAUCACGACAUAGUAGCUUAUCAAGACUGUCCAGGAGAAAAAAAACAUGGUGCUCCAAUAGACGUCUGUUCGUCGCCAGAAUGUUGGAUGAUCUUUUCCAGUCUGUAGCUGUCAAGACUUUGAUGUAACUCUCAAGCAUCUGGGGUUCAACAGACAUGACUUUUGCCAGCACCCCAGAAAUCUUUGUUUUCAUUUCGUCACGCACGAUCGCAUCCCUUUUGCGACCCGUGGAAAUGAAAAAGACGCUUGCCGCUGCAUUGACUGCCACAAGUUCCAAAUGAGUCAAGAGAACCUUCAACUGCCUGUGCUGAAACCCUUUCAAUUCUGCAAAGAGAAUGAAUCGUUUGAAGAAUUCUAGCUUCUCUUUAAUGUAUGAGAUCAGAGUUCCCAGGUAGACAUUGCCCAAGUCGAGAAGAUCUUCCAUAUUUGCCAACAGCAGGUCAAUGAAUUCCAUAAGUUCGUCUCUGGAUUGCAAGGAGUAACCCAACGCAGUGAUGUUGGAAUAGGAUUCGUUGAUUUUUUGUGUGAAAGACCACAAGCUUCCCCGAAAAUCUUCCACCAUCCCAAUAAAAUAAGCUUUCAUGUGAGAUCGUGGAUAGAAUCGUUCCUCUACUCCAAGACGAAUGGAGUCCAACUCCUUUCCUAUUCGGUUAACUGCAUCUUCAAGGCUAUGCAACAGAGAUCCAAGACUUGCAUUUUCAUCAGAUUUAAAGUAGAGAAAUAUGCUACGCAUGAAAGAUCCAAGAGAUUCCCAACUGAUCAAACGAUUGCUGCUCCUCCAGUACUUCCGAGCACACAAAACAAAUGUUCUCACAAGUCUUAGAUCCGUCCUCAGCCCCGUCCACAGAUGAGAUUCUACGUCCAGAUCUUUUGCCAGAUGCUCUAGAGCAUUUAAGACUCUAUCAACCGAAGCACAGCCCAUCUUUGAUUCUUUCUAUCCUCUGCAGCAAUGGAAGACACUCGAAACCUUACCUCCUUUUUUUCAACUUCAGCCAACACGAACUCCAGGAACUAAUCUACGCUGCUGAAAAUUAAGCGGUUCCUCUCUCAAUAUUUCGGUAAACCCCUUCCUACAAUGAAUGAAUGGAACAAGAUCUCUAUCUUCUAUCUUCUUUUUUUUUUUUUUUUGGUUGGGUACACAAGGGCAACUGUAGAGUGACUGCCUGGCUCCUUUCUUCCGUGGCCGCAGGGGAAAGGUCGCUUUUACGCGCAACACAGCAGGGGGGCGUUUCCAGUGGAGUUUUCUACCAAAAAUUUUUUACAUUUUUCAUUCAUCUUUUUUUUUAUUUUUCGCAUGUAUUAAAUCACAACAGUAUAUUUUUCACAAAAACUUCAAAAAAUUGCAAUUCAAAUGGAAUCAAACCCUCCUCUUUUGAUAAAAGAAAAAGGAACAUUUGCAAAAGGGAAAAUCGUUUAAAAUUUAGUCUCAAUCUAAGUUUUGAAUCACUUCUUACUCUAAAUUUUUCAAAUAAUUCACACAUGGUCAUUGUUUUAAGACAAAUGACUUGAUUCAUUAUAAAAACAAAUGACUGGAUCCAUUAUUCAUUUUUGUCCCCUCAGAAGUAGGAUUUGACUUAUAUCAUAUUCAUUUUUCUUUAAAAGGUGAAAUUGGAUCCAAAUAUUAAUCUUUGUCACUAAAAAAGAAAAAAAAAAAAAAGUAGGAUCUGACCUUUUUAUACAUAAAAAUGACAGCAUGUGGGUCACUUUGCAAUUUCAACUAAAAAGCAAUUAAAAAUUUAAGUUAGGACCAAAUUUUGCUUAUUUAAAUUUAUAAGGAAUACAAAAUUAAUAUUUAAAAAUAAAGAACAAAAAAUUUUAUUUGACUAAGGUUCCGUUUGAUAAAAUUGAAUAUGAAUUCUGAAAUCUGAAUACUGAAACAAUUGCUUUGCUGAAUUUUAAGCACUAAAAAGAAAUAUAUGAAUACCUGAAUUUUAAUGUUAAAUCUAUUUAUACUAUUUGAUAAACAUUUUAUAACUGAAUGCUUAGUAAGUUAAAUUUGAUAAUUUUGCCCUUAUAUGUUUUCAUCCAAAAAUAAAUAGAACCUGUGAUUUAAUUAGCAUAAAAUUGUUAGGUAUGAAAAUGACAAUAUUUAUUUUUAAAUCAAAUUAAUAUAAAAAUGAAAUAUAUUAUAUGAGGAGUAUAGAGAAGAUGUGAAAGUCAUUAAAAAUGGAAAAAAGAGAAUAGAAAACCAUUAGAUAAAGAAUAUCAAGCUGUUAAAUUAGAUAAGAAUUUUGAAUAUAAUUAAUAAAUAAGAAUAGAUUCGGGAGAUAAGAUAAGGUAAUUGAAAUAAUUCUAUUGAUUUUUAUCAAAAUUAAGCAAUCAGUUAACAUUCUUGUACUCAAAAAAUAUACACAAGUUCAGCACUGCUUAACAAAUUCAGCAGAUGGAUUUUCAUUUAUCAAAUACUCAAAAUAUUUGAAUGUCUCAAAAAGUUCAGUUUCAGCACUUUUUUAUAUUAUUAAAUAGACCCUAAAUGUUAUGCACUUUUUGGAUAGAAGAUUAUUUGGGAUAAUUUUUAAAAAAAAAAUAUUGUAGUACUUUUUUGAUAUGCUGUAUGUGAGAUAAAAAGAUGAUUAAAAAAUAUAUUGAUAAUGUAAGAAAAUCAAUGUAUGUAAAUAAGGUAUAAAUAAGGUGCAAACCAACGAUACCGUAAAUUUCUACUCCUACAAUCACUGCUUUACAGUUUGAUUGCACUAUCACUUGCACAGUUAUUAAACCCGGCCCGGCCCGGCGGUCGGACCGGUCAAACCGGUGGCCCGGUCAUGAAACCGGGCUGAUUUUCUAGUUGGAUCGGAGUUGCAAAGAACCCGCCUUGACCCGUUCGACCCGGACGGUUUAACCAUAGAACCGCUAGAACCGGCGGUUAUUGAUAAACCCGGUGGGUUUUGGUAAUUUUUUUGAAGUUACCGUUUUAUCCAAUUUUUUUAUUUAGACCAUUCAUACUACAUGGGCAUUAUCGUCUUUUUAGCCAAAUAAAAGAGAAAAUCAGAAAAAUUGAAGAAUGAAGAGGGAAUCGGACAUUUGGCCGUCAUUGGGGAUUUAGGCAUUAGGGAUUGUUUUCUUCUUUGUUUCUCUGAGAAGCGAGAACAAAUGGAGAACUUUUUAAGCAUUUAGGCAUUCGGCCAUUGUUUUGUCGGCACUGGCAGGUUUGAACAAUUUUUCUUUCGGCACUGGCAGGUUUGAACAAUUUGUCGGCACUGGCCAUUGUUUUGUCGGCACUGGAACUUGGAAGUUCGAAGUUCUUCAAGGAAGCCGCCGCUGCUACUGAAGCUGCCGUUGCUACUGAAGCUGCCGCUGCCGUUGCUACUGAAGCUGCCGCAGCCACCGAAGCUCCAGGUACUCGAAGCUACCACUGCCGCUACCAGGUACUCGAGGCUGCCGCUGCCGCUGCCGCUGCCGCCGCUACUGAAGCUGCUGCUACCACCGAAGCUCCAGGUACUCGAGGCUGCCGCUGCCGCUGCCGCUGCCGCCGCCACCGAAGCUGCCGCUUCCAGGAAGCUUUGUUCCUCUCAAUCCUCUUGUGGAGUUUGACGGUCUCUCUCCCUAUUCUCUUAAGGAGUUAAGUCUCUCCGAAUUCUCUGACCGCAGGCAAUAUUUUGUUUCUUCUUUCUUUUUGGAUGAUUAUUUAUUUCUUCUUCCUCUGCAUCGAACUUCAACAUGUGUAGUUACAUAAAUUUUCAGUGCCAUUUAAUACUCUUUGCUUCUGAGAAUUUAAUUUCAACAUGGUUAAAUUCAUUACCUGUAUUUAAUCACUUGCCUCGAACCCGUCAUUGAUAUAUUAGUUCAAAAUGUAGAUAUUGUUGCCAGUGUCUUUUUAAGGUUUCAAAUUGUCAAAUCAAAUUUAGAUUCAUUCACUGAUGAGCUACAAACAACCUUGGAGCAAUUCUAUGAUGCUCUGUAAUUGCCAACUAUGAAGAAUUAAAUCAGUAAGGGUAGAGCAAAAACACAUUUGGGAUAAAAUAUUCUUCUUGAAUAUUCACAGCACGAGAAUCAGUUGAGGAAGGCUUUAUGUUUUGCCAGUUCUUGCGGUACAAUAGCCGUAACAAAAAAUGGAGUUACCCCUGCCCUUCCAACAAUUGAAGCUAUCCUGCAACUUCUAACCAAGGUCACUGCAUGAAUAGAAUAUUAUACAAUUAGUGAUUCUUAUCUUGUUUCUUCUACGUAGUUUGACUUGUAUAAAGUAAUUUGGUUCCACUGCUCCAGCUAUUAUAAGUCCUUCUUUAUCUACUUUUCAUAAACAAUGAUCGGCACUUCACCUGUCGUAAAACACGGUCGUAUUUUCACGUGAGCAAGUUUCUAGUAGUUUAAUUGCAUCAUUGAACUUAACCUGUAGCUAAUUUUUUUAAAUAAAAGAUAUGUUUUAUUAUUUUUCAGAUAUUUCAUAUUUGUAAUGGACUCUAUUGGAGAAACACCGUCUCAAACACCAAGUACAGAACCAACACCUAGUACAUCAAAUUCUCAAAAUCAACCUCUAACAAGGGGAAAGACGGACCCUGCAUGGUCCCAUUGUAGAGAAGAUUCUGUGUCCAACAAAAAAGUUAAGUGCUUGGUAUGUAUUCAUUGUGGAAAAAGAAUUCGAGGAGGUGGUAUCAAUCGAUUCAAGCAGCACCUUGCAGGCGUAAAAGGAGAGACAGCACCUUGUCCGAAGGUUGAUGAACAAAUCAGAUUUGAAAUGCUAGAAAACUUGAAAGCUGUGGAAAGUAAGAAAAGAAGCUUGAAAGAACGCUCAAGGGGAAGUGAUUUAUAUGGUCAAGAUCUAAGACAACAUGAAGAGGAGGUAUACAUGCAAGAUGCAGAAGAUAUUCAAGAGAUUCAACCACCUCCUACUACUGAAGUUUCAAAAGGAAAAAAAGUUCUUCAACAGCACAAAAAAGGAAAAACAAUAGGAACUUUUUUUAUGCCAAGAGCUACUCCAGGAGGUCAACCAUCCAUCAAAAGUGUGAUGCAAAGCAAAGAAGCUAAAGAGAAGGUUGACAUGGCAGUUGCGAAGUGGAUGAUUGAUGCUUCCAUCCCCUUCAAUGCAGCAAACUCUGCAUAUUAUCAAAUAAUGUUUGAUGCUGCUUGUUCUUUUGGAGCUGGUUACAAAGCGCCUAAUUUCUAUGACUUGCGUGGCUAUUUGUUGACAAAAAAUGUUGAGCAAGUUAAGAAUUUUGUUAAUAGCUUUCGUACAACUUGGAAAGAAACUGGAUGUACUAUUAUGGCUGAUGGAUGGACUGACCAACAAAGGAGAACUCUCAUCAACUUUCUAGCUUAUUGCCCUAGAGGAACUGUUUUUCUAAAAUCAGUUGAUGCCUCGGAUGCUUCUAAGACUGCAGAGAUGUUGUAUAAGCUGUUUAGAGAAGUGGUUUUAUUUGUUGGGGUGCAAAAUGUGGUACACUUCGUCACUGACAAUGCUGCCAAUUAUGUUGCUGCUGGAAGAUUAUUAGAAAGGGAAUUUCCAACACUUUAUUGGUCUCCAUGUGCUGCUCAUUGUCUAAAUUUGAUGCUACAUGAUAUGGGCAAGUUAGAUGAGGUUAGUAAAGUGGUUGGACAUGCUUCAAAAAUAACAAAAUACAUUUAUAAUCAUUGUUAUCCAUUGCAUUUGAUGAGAAAACACACUGGUGGAAGAGAAAUUAUUCGGCCUGCUCCUACACGUUUUGCUACUAAUUUCAUUGCAUUGCAAAGUAUUUUAGUGCAAAAAGAUGCUUUAAGAGCUAUGGUGACUUCAAAAGAAUGGACUCUAUCAGCAUAUGCUAAGGAGAGUAAAGCAAAAAAAUUUGUGGAUCUUGUGCUAGAUUCUAUAUUUUGGAAAGAAUGUGCUAUAAUAGUUCAAUUAACUGAGCCUCUUGUUCGAGUUCUAAGAAUUGUUGAUAGUGAUGAAAGGCCUGCUAUGGGAUACUUGUAUGCUGCCAUGCAUAGAGCCAGAGAAGAGCUUUUGAGAAGAUUCACAAGAAAAAAGAAAGCAGUUGAUCCUUACUUAAGAAUAAUUGAUUCAAGAUGGGAUAGUCAGCUUCACAAAAAUCUUCAUGCUGCCGGUUAUUGGCUCAAUCCUGCUUAUCAAUAUAAUUCUCUUGAUUUGGAAAAGCACAGGCAUGCAACAUCAGGACUUUUGGAUGUGAUUGAGAGAUAUUCUUAUGCAAAUCCUGAUUUGAUGAGUAAUUUGACCGGAGAGAUGAGAUUAUUUCGUAAAGCUGAAGGUGAUUUUGGUAGAGUCUCUGCUAUACGAGAUCGUGAUGUCAUGCUUCCAGGUACCCAAAAAUUAACUUCAUUUUUAUUGAUGAUUUGAUUUUAAUUGUAAAAUAUUAUAAUCUGACUUUUUUCCUUUAUUUAUUGCAAUAGAUGAAUGGUGGACAUGUUAUGGUAGCACUGCACCUAAUUUGCAAAAACUAGCUAUACGUGUUCUAAGCCAAACUUGCAGUGCUUCUGGCUGUGAAAGAAAUUGGAGUUUAUUUGAGCAUAUCCACUCAAAGAAGAGAAAUAGAUUGGAGCAUCAAAGACUAAAUGAUUUGGUUUAUGUACACUACAAUUUAAGACUACAACAAAGGUAAACUACAUUUUGCAAUCAGAUUUUUGUUUUAAUAUGAUGACAUUUGUUAUUUAACUAGUUUUAAUGUUUUGUAUCAUUAGAAAUGCAAGGGGUAGAAAUUAUGAUCCUAUUGAUUUUGAGGACUUCAGCAUCAAUGAAACUUGGAUUUUGGAUGAUGAACCUUCACAAUUAACUCCAGUUGAAUUAGAAAGCUUUAGGAAUGAAAUAGCUACAUUUGCUAUCAGCCGACAAAGUGGUGAGUUAUUUUUUUUGAGCCAUAUGUUUGCUUAUUCUUUGUUUUUCGUUUUUGGCUAAAUAUUAUCCAAAUUUAGUGAAUGAUUCAUUGAUUUUUGUACUUAUGUAGAUGAAACUCUAAAUUUGGAUGAUUUGGACACUGGAGAUGAAGAUGAGACCAAUAAUGAAGAGAAUGUUGAAAGAAAUGAUCUUAAUGUGGGCUGUGAUGUAAAUGAACUUGGUGGUAUUGAAUUUGGCAGAAGUUGGGAACCAUGGGCAUGAAUAAUAGAUGGAGUGAACUACUCAAGUGAUAAUUGUGGUGUUGUUUAUGUUCAUGACUUUAUGUUUGGUUGUAUUGAAUUUGUCGUUUAUGACUUAUGUUUCAUGGUUUGAUACUUCUAUUUAUGUGUGUGAAAUGAAUUAUGAACUAUGAACAGGUUAUAACUUGUUGAGAUUUAAGAAUUUCUGCACUUAUAUUAUAAUUUACAUGUUUAUUUAAUUAUAUUAUAUAUAUUUUUUAUUAUAUAUUGUGACCCAACGGUUCAACCAGUGACCCACCGGUUGAACCACUGACCCGUCAACCCGGUCCUCUUGCCGGGUUGAUGUCCGGGUUGGUUUUAAUAACUAUGAUCACUUGUCUCCAUCCUUCUUCUUUGCGCUUUCCACGAUGCUAUUAUAUUAAACCAUUAGGGAAAUUGUCAAUGCGGAAACCAAAACUUUUUAGGCUAAAUAACCAACUACUCCCAUGUGGUUUCGCAUACUACCAAAUGACUCUCUUAACAUUUUGAAGUUUCCAAAUAACCCCACAUAAUUUUAUAUAAAGGGAAAACUUGACGAAAAGCAAUUUCCUAUUAGUUGAAAUGCUAGUAUUAACCAAAUGAGAACUGAAUAGAUAUUUAUGUUAAAUUAUAUGGAAUCAAGUGGAUAUUAUAUUAUAAUUUUACCAUAUGCACUUUAGGAUGGUGCCUAGAUACAGAGAUGCACUUUUCGCUCACUUUUUACUUUGCAUAAAACCACAUAUGAGUAACGUGAAUAUUCUAAAACAUUAGAAAAGUAGCAUGGUAAUAUGCAAAAACAUAGGGUGUUUCUAGUAAUUUAAUCCAAUUUGUACAUAAAAGCAUAGUUAUUAAAUUCGAUCCCGAUAAACUUUUGAACUUCAGUUGAACAAGAACUGUAGUAAGUAUUCUAUGCUGCUGAAAAUCAAUUGUUUUCCUUCUUUUUUCGCAGAAAAACUUUGAACUUCUGUCGAACGGGAACUAGGAGGUAUCCUAUCCUAUGCUGCUGUUUUUGGGUGCUUAGUGCUCUUACUUCUAUGAAUAUUUUGGUCAACCCCUUCUUUUUCUUAGUGAAAUUAUGAGCAGAAUGAAACAAAUCCGCCGAUUCAGGCAGCCAUGUCAAACAAUCAGGGAAAUCAUUAAUGGCGCAAAAAAGAAAAAAAAAAUCUUCUCAAGCCUCAUUUCCAUCUCAAUUCCACGGAUAACAGCCUAUUUGACCAGAGCAUUAAUUUCUUUAAGUUUUUUUUUUUUUGUUAAGUAGUACCCAACUAAAUUAAUAAAGAUGUUAAACUUUGACUCAAUGAUGAAUAAUUUUUUAUGCAUUUAAUGUCAACUUGACAGACGAAGCAUUCUCUACCCCUUGAAAAUAGAAGGUAUUCACAGUACACCAAAAUACAAGGAAUGUGAAAAUGCAGAUGCCAAACAAAACGUUGAAUAGAAUUGGGAUUGACGCAUGAAGAUAACAAGGAUUCAAAGCCAAAGAAAACUGACUCAUGGGAGGCCAAUUUGAGGUGCUAGAAAAAGAAGUAAAGCUUAAACCAUGAAAGAGAAGGGGGAAGAUUACUGUAAGAAGUAGAAAUGCAAGAAAACUGGGGAGAAAGGUGGGGAGGGCAAUAAUGCGCAAAUACCGUUCGUUAGAUCCCCCCUAAAAGAGUAGAGUAGAACCCACUUGUACCUUUUUUUUGUACAUUCGUCUCAAAUGCAUCUCAGGUAAUCUCACGAAUUUUUAUAGCACAAACUAACAUGUACAAAAACAGCAAUUUGUUGAGGAAAAUAACUAAAUUAUGGCGAGCUAAACGCUCGAGAGAAAAUGCACCCAAUAAUCACCCCCUUGGUUUUUUGGUUCCAUCUUUCUGACACUCAUUUUCUUCUGGGAUGUGAAGGACCAAUUUGCUGGUGGUAUUUGUGGACUUCUUCACCCUGGUGAAGCACUCUGGACUUCAGGUAUGAUAAGAACCAGUAGUAAAUCACUAACCAUAGGCCCGGCAGCCAGCCGUUGUUUAAUGAAGGUAAGAUGUAGUACUAUAUCAUUUCUCUCUGUGCUUUUAGCUCCAGAAAUGCAUAUUCUUGGAUACAGAUUAUGCAAGGUCAUGUGCACUUGUGCUUAACCUAGGUUACAAGAAGAGAGAUAUUCUACUUAUCGAACAGACUACAAGAGCAAGAUCAAAAUCUCUGUUCUUACAACGUUCAUGCAAAGUCAUCAACCCUCAUUUAACUGUAAAGAAAAAGGGAAAGGAAAGGAAAAAGUUGAUGCACUUCUCAUUGCUAGUCAAGUCACUGGCAAAAACCAGGAAAAACCAAUGAAAAUGUUGACAUUGAUUCCCAGUAAAAUUAAGGUUGCACCAUAACAAAGUACUCCUAAGUGUUGGUCACUGGCAAAUGUCUUCUGGGCGUCCAUUUGAUGCACAAAUGAAGUUUCAAAACUAGGACCGACAUUACUCUAAAACUGAGAAUUUAACUUAGAAAGAGGCAAGAAAUCAUUACAAUUAAGCCAAAUGACAGGUAUCACUUCAACAAAAAAAACUCCCUCGAGGUUUAAACGACGGGAAAGCCAAGAUAUUCUUGUCACCAUACGCGAAGGCCCUUCCUAACUUUGCCAUCACCGUGUAGAUAAAAUUUCUUUAACAGUGUAAAAUAAGACAAAAAGCCAAUAACAAUACAGGAAAAAGACAACACAAAGGAAAAGCCAAUUUAAUCCCUUGGGACAGAGAAGCAAAACAUUUAACGACCAAAGACAGCAAUAAGCAAGGCUUUCUAAAGCUUGUAUAAUUCAUAACAAAAUCUUUUACAUCAGUUCACCAAGCAUAAUAAGAUACCAACCGUAUCUUCAUUUGACUUAGACGUCAAUCAAUUUACAGCUACUGUCAUAUAUUCUAAUUACAAGGUUCAAGAGCUCUGCCCUUUACUUAUUUCAUUGUAUCAGAAUCAAUCAAUGCACUUUUGACCAGUACUAGAUACUUUGUCAUGACGGCUAAGCAUCACCAGGCCUCCAUUGAUGCAUGAAAAUGCUUCUACACCUGACACUGGAUACAAAAUUCACAAGAUUAUGAAUAAAUUUAACCUCGACUGGUGCAGGAAAAUGCUUCCAUACAAAUGUCCAUAUAAAUUGAGCAUCAUUCACAGAAAAGUUUCUAUCAAGCUACA